GCCGACUUCCUCCUCGGCGUCGCCGUCGUGUACUGCAACAGCGGUGCGCUCAUCACGUCCACCACGACCGGCGUCCCGCAGGUCGUCUGGUCGGCCAACCGCGCCAGCCCCGUGGGCGAGGGCGCCGCCGCGGAGCUCACGGCCGAGGGCGACCUGGUACUCAGGUCCGCCAACGGCUCGGCGGUGUGGUUCGCCGGCACCAAGGGCCGGUCCGUCGCCGGGGUGACCAUCGGCAGCGACGGCAACCUCGUGCUGCUCGACGGGCGCAACGCCACCGUGUGGCAGUCGUUCGACCACCUCGCGGACGCGCUGCUCGUCGGGCAGUCGCUCAAGCACGGCGCGCGGCUCACCGCCAACACGUCAACGGCUGACUUGCGCGACGGCAGGCUCUACCUCGCCGUCGAGGACGACGCCCUGAGCGCAUACAUCAAUGCCACGCCGCCUCAGCGCUACUACCACCUCGGCUUCGGCGAGACCGCGGCCGGCGCCUACGCGACGUACACCAACGGCAGCCUCACUGUGUCCGCCCGGCCCGGAGCGCCAGCCCUGGCCACCAUCCAGCUGCCCACCGUCGGCACCGGCACGGUGCAGUACAUGAGGCUGGAGCACGACGGCCACCUUCGGCUCUACGAGUGGCGCUCCGGCUCGGGCUGGGCGCCGGUGUUCGACGUGCUGCGCCUCUUCCCGGACGGCGGGUGCGCGUACCCAACCGUCUGCGGCGCGUACGGCGUGUGCACGGACGACACGCAGUGCAGCUGCCCCGACGCGGCCAACUUCCGGAGGCCCAACCGCGGCUGCGUCCCGACGAAUCCACCGCCGACGUCAUGCGGCUCAUCAUCGCCGGGGCGGCGCGCGCAGCACCGGCUGGUGUCGCUGCCGGGCACGGGCUACUUCAACGACCAUGCAACGAGCCUGCACGCCGUGGAGAGGGUGAGCGAAGAGGCGUGCCUGGACGACUGCGCGUGCGCCGCGGCGCAGUUCUACUACGGCCCGGACGCCGGCGACGGGUUCUGCUACCUGCAGUCGGAGGUGUUGUCGCUGCAGACGGUACGGCCGGAGGAGGUGCACUACAACUCCACCAUGCAUAUCAAGGUGCAGGCCAAGUCAGGCAGGAUCUGA
This 1119-nucleotide ribosomal RNA is filed under the name Triticum aestivum (bread wheat). RNAcentral's name for it is "partial small subunit ribosomal RNA". The record is from RNAcentral. Lineage: Eukaryota; Viridiplantae; Streptophyta; Magnoliopsida; Poales; Poaceae.